Molecule: ribosomal RNA, 253 nt
Filed under: uncultured bacterium
Lineage: Bacteria
Description: partial 16S ribosomal RNA
Rfam family: Bacterial small subunit ribosomal RNA
Source: RNAcentral
UACGUAGGGUCCGAGCGUUGUCCGGAAUUAUUGGGCGUAAAGGGCUCGUAGGCGGUUUGUUGCGUCGGGAGUGAAAUCCUCCAGCUUAACUGGAGGCUUGCUUUCGAUACGGGCAGACUUGAGGUACUCAGGGGAGAAUGGAAUUCCUGGUGUAGCGGUGAAAUGCGCAGAUAUCAGGAGGAACACCGGUGGCGAAGGCGGUUCUCUGGGAGUUACCUGACGCUGAGGAGCGAAAGUGUGGGGAGCGUACAGG